Long non-coding RNA from Felis catus (domestic cat), 9152 nucleotides. RefSeq lists it as uncharacterized. NCBI's taxonomy places the organism in Eukaryota, Metazoa, Chordata, Mammalia, Carnivora, Felidae. The transcript is spliced from 3 exons. The record is from RefSeq and is a predicted model, not a curated record.
ACCAAGGGGGGAAGGAGCCCCGUUAGAAAAGAGGCCUGGUCACUGUUCUGGCUGCUCCAGCACCUGGACCGUUUUCUUUGACGACGAUGCGCCAUCCAGGCCUCCCCUGAAUCAGAGGCUCCUGCUCUCCUCCGUGACUGACCCGCUGGUCUUCUUGCCACGCCCAUCCACAGCUACAAAAAUGAGAAUUACAACCCAUUCAAGAUUGGGGGGUGAAAGGAAAAAGAAACCAAAAAGGAGGAGUGGAUCCAUUCUUUUCAACUUGAAGGGAACUGAGUUACCAAGUUGAACACUCAAUUCCUCCUUAGAACCCUGGAGCAGAGAGAGAUCAUGUGGACCGAGGCCGAGGUGAGCCACCCGACGGAGCAGAAAUGACUCUCAGCUGAGGCUGCCAGACGCCAAGGGAAGGCCCCUAGGUCGGCAAGCCCAGCUGAGCACCGACAAUGGAGAGAGUCCGGCAGCAAUCUCCCGAGCUGGCCCAGACGAGCACCAGCACCCGCUUGACCCACAGAGCUGUGACCUAUAUGCGACAGUUGUUUUUUAACUCACCAAGUUUGGGGGCGGUUUGUUAUGUAACAGAAGCUAAGCUGAUAGCGAGCUUCUCCUCUAAGCCUCAGUCGGGGAACCCAGCUGUCUGCAGGCCUGCCGACUCCUGAGGGCGCUGCCACUGACCUUCUGUCAUGUCUGGCGUCCGGCUGUAGCCCUCGGGUAACGUCACCCCGAAAUAAAAAUAAUAGGAAUAUAACAGGAAAGAAAGGAGUCAGCGCCUGAUGGCUCUGUGUGUGUGAGAGCGGGAGUCGGGAGGGUGGGGGCGGAAAGAGCAAUCAGAGGGCAAAAGGAGGCGAGACAGGAGCAUCCAACUCCAGGCACUGACCUGAGACGGCACGUCCCACUGAACGCAGAAGCAGCCUCCCUCCCCUCCGCCCCCGGGGUCCCUUCUGCCGGCGGCAAACAGAAGCGGUAAGAGCAGCGACCACAGGCAAGUGUUCUGGCUAAUUUUCAGGUCAGGCUGGGGGCCAGGGAAGAAGGGAUGGAAGGAAUCACAAGAUGCAUCUUGCAGAAGUACAUCCCCAAUCCUUGUCAGCUCUGCUAUCGUCGUCGUAAGUAAUUCCACGCAGAGAGGAAAAAUAAAGGCUUGAGCAUAAGGUUUCUAUCUGUGCUGCACAGAAGCUGAUUAAAAAUGCUAACUACCAUGAUUGUCCAACCACCAGACGCUCCCCAGAGACCCAUGCUCACAGAUGGUGAUUAGUUUGGGAUGGCCAGAACAUUCACCAGUACCAUGUUGCCGUAACACCCACAGACUAUCUGUCACACUCCCAGGAGGCCGUUAAAGGCUGUUUACUUCAUACAGUUAACUUGAACCAUAAGCUUCACAAGCCUCUUUGAUGCAAUUUUAAUCACUCUCCUCAUAAACCCGUAACACUCCCCGGCACGGAUAUGCAUUUGCACACAGCACAACGCACAACUCCCCUCGGAAUUCUCCAGCUCGCGCCACCCCUCCCCCCCGCCCCCCCAAGUGGAUGCCGCCUCGCUGCAGAUACCGUCUCGGGUCUCCCCUGAUUCACACACUCGCAUUAGUGCUUCCCAGCGUGGUAAUAUAUCACGGCUCCCGGUGGAAAUUGGGUGAUAAAAGAUCAAUACCAGGACCUUGUAACAAAUGUUCCGACAGUGAAACUGCAAGCCACUGUUUAUCUUUUGCAGAACAUAUUUUUUCCCCCAAGCAAAUUCUAAUUUUCUAGACUGACCUCAGCUAUCCUCUCUGAUAUUUAUUUAUUUGGAAAGCAAAACCAAGUGAGGGCCUGGAUACCGCUCCCGAGGAAGAUACAGAGCCCGGUUUCCCCACUGCCCCUCGGGAGCUCUGGUCGCCGGCGCGCCGCCCCAGGAGAACUCCACUGUCCCCUCUCCACGUUCUGCCAUUUCACCAGGGCGCGUCCUGCACUCGGCAGGCUGGCAGCGUGUUCCCGCUGGCAGGGCUGCGGGCAGUGAAGCGGUGACAUUUGGUGGAUACGCCGGCCGCAAGAAGGGCAGCCUGCGAUGAAAGGAGGAGCCCUUUCAAGGGAUUUUACGUGAAUUCUGUAAAGACGGCACUGAAGAUAGGCUGCAGAGCACUUCCGUUUUGCAGCGCUGGCAUUUUCUAGACUUUCCCAUCCGACGGUCUGCGGGUGACAUUCCUCCUUCACCAGCUAAACGGUGCCCGGCAUUUCCGAGUGUGAAGAAACCUGCGGUGCCACCGGAGACGCUGAUCUUAAUGGAUUUCUGGAGAAGAAGAGACGGGAAAGAUGGAGACGGGCACAUGAGAACAGAGAGCGAAUCCCAGGAAUGACAGCUCAGCCUGCUUGGUACCAGUUCCAGGAGUGAUGUGAAAAUAUUCUGAAAAGCACGAUAAAUCAAAAGGGCAAGAAGCAUUUGGGAUCUCUGUCUUGGGAAGAAACAUCCCAUCGGCGCCAACAAACAUUUACCGCGUGCUGCUCGUAAGUAAAACGCAGGGCUGGGGUCUGAGGCUACCGGGUGGAGGGAUGGGUGAGACCACGCAGUGGCUGGUGAGGAUGUGGGGCGUGGGGCGGGGAAGCAGGAACUUCAAACACACAGAGAGCAGAAGCGCCAUAAGGCCUGAAGGGAACGGGACUCCAGGCCAGGGAGCAGAGGGGGGAGAGGGAAAGAGCUUUUUACGCGGGAUGGGAUGGUAGCAGGAUCCGGAUGUUUAUAGAAUCUGGCAGGAAGGGGGGUCUGGACGGACAGGCACCCCAGGGGACGGCACGAGGGGUGGUGAGCGCGGAGUGUGUUAGGCGGCCGUGGGCACACCUCUGGUGUGCAGGGCGGCCCCUUCGCGUGAGCUGGCUGUGCAAGGCGGUGAGGGGAUCCCCAGGAGAAAAGCUGGGGUCUGAGCGAUGUGAGUGGAAAGGAAGGUAUGUCAACAGGCAUUCUAAGGACAGACGUGGCAAAACCGGGUGACUCACCAGAUGCGGGAGAUGAGAGAAAGCAAGAGUGUGAUUUCUGAGACCAGACUCAGAGGAGCGGCUCUCCGGGUGGGGAGUGAUGCGAGACGCCUCCUACAUUGGCACUGCGGUGCGUGGGGGCCGUGGGCAGGAGCUAAUCCUCCUCUCCCCACCCUCCCCCCAGGAGAGGUGCCGGGAGUGAUGGCUGGGGCCACCUGUCCAGACGCUCCGUGCUCCCUCUGUGGUUGGCCUGAGGCUUGAAGUGUGGUAGUUCCCUCUCUUGUCCGCGGUUUCGCUUUCCAGGGCUUCAGUUACCCACGGUCGACAGCGGUCCCCAAGCAGACGCUCCUCCUGACCUGUCGCCAGAGCCAACGGUAGCCGAACGCGGGGCGCCUGGGUGGCUCAGGCCGUGAAGCGACUUGACUCUUAAUUUACACUCAGGCCACGAUCUCACGGUCAUGAGAGCAAGCUCUGCGUCAGGCUCACGCUCUUUCUCUCUCUCCCCAAACUAACAAACAAACAAACAAUAGUAGCCGAAUGCUACAUCACGACACCUACAUCGUUCACUUGGUCACACAGGCCUUUUAUCAUCUCACAUCAUCACAAGAAGAAGGGUAGUGCAGUACCAUAAGAUAUUUUGAGAGACAGUCCACAUUCACUAACUUUUUUACGGCAUAUUGUUAAAAUUACUCUAGCUCAUUGUUGUUAAUCCCUUACUGCGGCAACUUAACAAAUUAAACAUUAUCAUGGGUAUGGAUGUGUAGGAAAAAACGUAGCCUGUAUAGGGUUGGCACUAUCCAUGGGUGCAGGCACCUGCUGGGGGUCUGGAACGUACCGCCCCGUGGCUAAGCGGGGACGGCUGUCCUCAUUCUCUCGCUCGCAAGUUCUCUUUCAGGCCGCUACUUCUGCUCUGUGGAUUUCUACUCAAGUGUUCACCCUCCCCACAAAGCGGGCCUCUCUCCUCCACCGGGAAGACUUCUCGAUCCCUUUUCCAAUUUGUUUCAGUCUCACCAAAUCUCAGCAACGUCUCCGAGGUCAUAUUUAUCAUGCUAUGUUAAAAAAAAAAAUCACAACCAGUUCGGUUUUCCCAUGCUCUGAAACUUGUUUCGUCCCCCUCAAAAAAAUUUUUUUUUGUUAAUCUUGGGUAUCACUAGGCUUCACUUACACUGCGGUUUUUCUUUCUGUUCCAAACCCUUAAUCUCUCUGAUCCCUCAUGGUAACCAGUUUUGCAGUGCCUUUUUUUUUUUUUUUAAACACGUUUGCUAGCGUUUCUCCCCAACCCCUUCCUCCGCCUCCACUUCCAAGUCAUCUUGAGCAGAUCGGCUGGUAUCUGGGAGAAAAAAUACUCCAUUACCAUUUUCACGUUACAUAAUUCCUUCCUAGUUCUCUUCUGAAAUUUCUGAGGGCAUGCACGCAUUGGUUCAUUCGGUUCACUCCUUCCUUCCUUCGCCUUCGACGGGCUGCAUGCUACGUUACGUGGUGUGCCAAAGAGGACGCGCCCCUGGCCUGCUGGGCCUUACAGUCGUUUAGGGGAGGCGGCCUAAUACGUAAAGAUUACCCCUGUGCUAAGCGUACUGAGAAGGAAUGGUUAAGUAUGAGAAGGGACGGGAGAGGAGGAAAACCCUCAGGACGAGGUGUCUCAGGAGGGAGGCAAGGCCCCUUCCCCAGGGGUGAAGGCAGGCGCUACACAACUCUGCCAGGGAAGCUACAGAAGGAACUCCUUGAAGAAUCGGAAGCUGGGGAAAAGAAACCAGCAUCAGCUCCCUUUCCAUCUCUCAGCCCCUAAGAUUCUCUAAGCAGGACCAACGGAAGGGAGAUGAGAGGUGUAAUUUAUGGCAAUGCCACUGCCCUCAGGCCAGGUCACUCAUUAGAUCCUUCCCUGCCUCCAUUUCACUGACCAGCGGAUACAAACUUUUACCACUUUCUCUAUUUAAGACCUUACUGAGGCGUCCACACUGGGCUCUAAACUACAGGAGAAAGCCUCAAGGGGCAAGGAGUCUUGUAGACAACAUAUAUUGAGCAAUUCCUACUGAUGUUAAUCACUUAUUUGAGAGGAAGAAUAAAACACGUUAAAGGGACUUUGGGGGAUUACUCUUCCUAUAUUGAUAACUCAUUAACAUUUAAUGAACUGGAGUAGUGGCCAAGGCAACUCAAAGCUGUCUGGAAAGUCAAGAAACCGGCUUAGCUUUCAUACAACAAACUCAGAAAGUACUUCCCUGACGCUUCUUGGCUCUUCUGGGAGUCCUGGUCAACCUUUUCUCAUUUGUGAGGAAGAGACGACCUUUAGGUUAAAGCCAUUUCUUUUCGGCAGGGAGCUUAAUGCGUCUCAGAACUCUUCGACAAGUUAACAUCAGCACGGGCUCAACAUUUACCGGUGCUGACGAGGCCCCUGAAGGCCAGAAGGUCCAACAUUCGCUUUCAGUUUUUACUCUGAUCUCUCUCACACACACACCCUGACCUACCGCACGGUAGAGAUAGCGUUCUCCCAGGGGAAUGGACUCUGUAAGUGGGAGAGUCGUGGCUUCCCCAGGCCCCUGGAAAAUGUGAAGACGGUACUAGAUCAUCACCCUGGUUCCUUUCUGCUUUAUCAUUCUCUCUCCACCCAUCACCGUUCUCCCUUAUAGACCCUGACAUAAACUCGUGUCAAUAGAUAAAUGGUCUUGGCAUCUGUGGCUAGAGAGAAUGGCUCUGUAGUAACUACGGCAAACUAAAAUAGCAGACUUGCCUCCAAGUGUAACUGGCUUGUACACAUGCCUUCACUGGGCAGAAUAACUCACUUAAUUUUUUAAGGGAAGAUUUUGGAGCUAGUCGAUUUGCCAGCUCUCCCAAGAAACCAUGUUGCUCAGAAUCCUGUGAAGGAAUUACAGGGUAUCUACUGCUGGCACCCAGGAACCUAGGCUGGAAACAUCCCAGGGGCCACCUGCGAGAGCAAGGACUCAUCAUCACCUUUUGCCUGGAACCAUACAGGUAAUAUUUCCAGUGUAGACCCUUUGUUGACCCAUAGGUAUCUCUCAAAGGACGCUAAAGAGGCAGGGUAGACUGUACUUUCUACCUCUAGCUAUAACCUGUCCUCCCGCCUCCCACCUUCUCUCCUGGGUCCACCCCUCACCAGAGGGAGCCGCACAACAGUUCGGACCCAUUGAACAACAGGACUUAUUGGAGAACUUAUCUGAGUGUCAGAGUAGACCCCCAAAUGGAUUCCUGAGGAGGAAGCCUGGGUUUGCUCACAAGUACUCCCACAGCCCCACCUAGAGAGAGCUGGAAUGGCCUUCCGUGCAGGCGGGGGUCCAAUUUUCACAAUAAGAUGUCAACUUUACCACCUGCACUUCUGAUUUCUAAGGCAUAAGGCUCUGCCCUAGACCAGCAGCAGAGAAUACAAACACACCAGGCUCUUGUCAGAGAACACAAUCUCAAACAGUCUGCUAUUCAACUCCUAUCAAAAGCCCAGCUGAGAAAAGCAAUAUUUACAAAAGAUUAUUUGAAGGACAAGCAGUUCAUCCAUUCUUCAAAACAUUCUAAAUUCUAUCCAUGGAUCAAAUCUGACCACCUUGCAGCUACACACUAGGGCCAUAUUACUUUAGCCCCAUGCAGAACUGCUGUCACUGAAUUGUAUUUUAAUGUCGCGUCGUUUGGUCUUAUCAAGAAAGUUACUUACAAGAAGUAGUCAUAGGAAAUCGGUUAUUGCAUUUGAGGAAAACGUUGGUGGGAAGCCCGUUCACCACAUAAAGUCCCACGUGAGGAAGUUAUCUAGGAAAGUAGCUUUAGAGGAAGCUCUGAUUCUUGGAGAAACGAUGGUCUCCUUUCCUAAGUAAUUUCAUAGUGAAUUUGACCUGGGCUGCCAGGAAUCUCAGCGUCAAAUCUAAAGCUCAGUCGUGGCAAUUAUACUGAACCUUAGGUUUUCUGUGUUUGUGCUCUUCUUUUCUUGGUCACUGUUUUCUCUUUCUAAUUUUGAUGUAUUUCUCCACUGAUCUGUCACAGAACUCUUAUGGAGCCAGGUAAUGCUAUAAAUAAGUCAAGAAUGCGUUGGAUACCUGUUCAUUUAAAUCCCGUGCCUACGGAGUUGUCCCUACUUGAGUGACAAUCCUAUCCUUGGUAGUGCUGGUUGUAGGCGUGGAAACGAUAAUGCUAAUAAUCAUGAUAAUACUUAUAACAAAGCUGUCACUUAUUUUGUGUUUCUAUGUAUCUAAGCACUGUAAUAGGAAUGUGUCACAUGUUGUUUUACAGAACCCAUAAGCUAGGUACUAUUAGCCUAAUCUUACAGGAGAGGAAACUGAGGCUCUGAAAAGGUAGGCAAUUGGUCUGUUACAUACCUAGUAGAAACAGAACCGUACCCAGAAUCCUAUCGGACUCCAAGUUGCGGCAAGAUAUCCCCACUCUAACUGCAAUGGGCCAUUUCAAGGGAGGAUGACAAAGCCCAAAUAACAAAUGCCACAGAUCUAAGGUUGGAACUUUGAUUUCCCCAACUCCCCUUGUAUCACGGUAAAGCAUUGCAUAAAAGUCUGCCUGUUGGUGCCGACAACUGUACUUUUCAUGUCCCAGUCAAAGCCCAUUUGAAAAGUGAUCGAGUAUUAGGUAAAGGUGAAAGUGUAUUUUGUAGGUAGGACCAAAUCAAGAGUUCUGAUAAUCUAUCUUGACAGAAGCUAAAAAACGGAACAAAGAACCAUCCACCUCUUCACAACACUGGUAAGAGCUUGCUUUUGAGAGAUUUCCCAGAGCCCUGCAGGCACCCCCCAAGCUGCAAAUGACUUGGCCCCCUUGGGAAACUCUGAUCUGACCUGCAGGGAUGUUUGGUCUCGUGUGGCGCCCCGAGUGCCCACCACCACCACCACCACGAGGAGACAGUCACAAGGACGUGACAUAUUUACAUCACACGGCAAGCUACGAUAACCCCUGCCUUACAUUUUUUUUUCCUCUUAGGGAGCCACACAUUACCGUCCUCUGCCAUGGAUCUCCAUUAGUUCGAGAACCAAGGGUGAAGGUUAGGGACAUCUGUUCAUUCAUCCAUUCACUGACCAAAUACCCAGCACCUUCUAGGCUUGGAAAGACAGAAGAGCUAGCGGACCACAUGGAUUCUGUCCUUCAGAGCUUCCUAACAGACUGGGGAGAAGAAACCGCCCUGGGAGACGAAACCAAAUGCAAAGCCACCCGCAUAAAAAGCGAAAGGUAGCACCAAAGGAUGGUCUCUCUAAGUGUAGAGGAAGCACAGGAAUGAUCACAGUGAAACAGGUUCAAAGAGCAGUGUUCGCUGGGACAGGGGAUUGUUGGCGUCCCUGAUGUGUUUAGACAGUAAAUCUGAGCUAUGAAGUCCUUCUCAGUUUAACAUCCAUGCAGCAUGCUCCGAAUGCUGACGGGGCCCCGACCUCGUACCGGGUACCACCCCGGUGUCAGGAAAAGACCAGUGGGCAGACGGACAAGCUCUCUGCCCUGGUGGGGCUCACACACACAUUUUGAAAAACUCGAAAUAAUCCCAGAAAGUGGUAGGUACUGUGAAAGAAAUAAAAGAGGGAAGGCAUCGUGGGCCGGAAGGGGGAUCCCUUAGCAGAGUCAAUACGUGCUGACUGAAUGAUCUCAGAAGCUAUCGUUAUGGCCGAGAAACCUACACAGGGAGCUGAGUGAAAGGAAGGAGGCAGCUCUGGGCUGCCAGAGCCUAGAAGAGCCUAGGGAAGAGCCCUCCUGCCAGAGGAAACAGCGAGAGCCAGGGCCCAGGACAGGCUCAUACUCGCAUAGUUGAGCGCUACAAGGGAGGCCAGAGAGGCUGGAGCACGGUGACCUAGGGAAAUGGGGGCAGGGUGGCCGAUCACAUAAGGCCUUUUAGGCCACUGACAGGCUUGAAUUUUAUUCCAAAUGAAACAAGUAGUCACUGAUGGACUUUAAGUGCCCAUGUGUGGGUAUGCGUGUGCGCACGUGUGUAUAUGCAUGUGUGUGUGUGAGAAAGAGAAAGAGAUUGGAUAGUACUUAUGUUUUCAAGGUAUUACCUGGAAUGAAGCAAAGAUGGCUCAGACACGACAUCAAAAGUAUACACCAUAAAAGAAAGAAAAUGAUCAACUGCACUUCAUCAAAUUUGGUAACUUUUGUGUUUCAAAGACACCAUGAAGCAAAUAAAAGACAAAUUAUACACUGGGAGAAAAUAUCUUAUAAAGGAUUUGUAUCCAUAAUGUACAAAGAACGAAUUGAACUGUGCACUUAAAAUGGGUCAACUUUAUGAUCUGUAAACUC